Molecule: ribosomal RNA, 493 nt
Filed under: uncultured bacterium
Lineage: Bacteria
Description: bacterial SSU rRNA
Rfam family: Bacterial small subunit ribosomal RNA
Source: RNAcentral
AUGAACGCUAGCGGCAGGCUUAACACAUGCAAGUCGAGGGGCAGCGGGUGUAGCAAUACAUGCCGGCGACCGGCGCAAGGGUGCGUAACGCGUGAGCAAUCUGCCCGUAUCAGGGGGAUAAGCGAUGGAAACGUCGUCUAAUACCGCAUAACACCAAUGAUGGCAUCAUCGAUGGUUGAAAGCUUCGGUGGAUACGGAUGAGCUCGCGAGACAUUAGUUAGUUGGCGGGUAACGGCCCACCAAGACCGCGAUGUCUAGGGGAACUGAGAGGUUGGUCCCCCACACUGGAACUGAGACACGGUCCAGACUCCUACGGGAGGCAGCAGUGAGGAAUAUUGGACAAUGGCCGGAAGGCUGAUCCAGCCAUGCCGCGUGAAGGAAUAAGGUCCUAUUGGAUUGUAAACUUCUUUUGUACGAGAGCAAUAAGUGUCACGAGUGACACGAUGAGAGUAUCGUACGAAUAAGCAUCGGCUAACUCCGUGCCAGCAGCAGC